ACCUCAGACCAAUUCAGUCACGGUCGAUGCGGGUGGAUGUCAGUGUGCUGUGAAACUCCCCAGGUGCUUCUCAUGUGCAGCCAGGGCUGAGCACUCUGCUGCUUUCCCCCCUCUCUGUCAGAAAAUGAGCAUGGGGGAAACAGAGCCGACUUGUGUGGACAGGGUGCACGGACCACUAAUAGAAUUUUGACGUUGUGGCUCCUUAAAUAGCCUCCCAAUUGAGAAGCUCACGCGGAGGCGAAGGCCGAGGUGCAUGCAGCUGCCGCCUGGACGUGCGUCCAGUCCAUGUUGACGUUUGAAGAGUCACAGAGUGUGAAAAUGAACCUGAAGGAGAACUGGUGAAAUCACGUCCAGUGGCGACUCCGAACUCUGACUGACUGAGGGAGCCAAGUCGGACGCUGAGAGCAGCGGCCAGAGGACUGACUUCAGGGAUCUCCCAGCCUCUGUGGACACGUCAGGAUAAUCUGCUCUUCCCCAAAUGGAGGAGUUCCUCCCCUGACGUCAGGCUCUCCCAGCAGCCCAGAGACCACCCCAUCUCCCAGGCUGUAUCGGGGCUGAAGGCAUCACCUCAUCCCUCCCCAGCUUUGCUAAUU
Molecule: long non-coding RNA, 593 nt
Filed under: Equus asinus (donkey)
Lineage: Eukaryota; Metazoa; Chordata; Mammalia; Perissodactyla; Equidae
Description: lncRNA (ENSEASG00005036336.1)
Source: RNAcentral